UUGCAAUUGUUGGUCUUCA
RNAcentral lists this non-coding RNA (19 nucleotides) under Arabidopsis thaliana (thale cress). Lineage: Eukaryota; Viridiplantae; Streptophyta; Magnoliopsida; Brassicales; Brassicaceae. The record is from RNAcentral.